RNAcentral lists this ribosomal RNA (468 nucleotides) under uncultured bacterium. Its description in RNAcentral is "partial 16S ribosomal RNA". It matches the Rfam family "Bacterial small subunit ribosomal RNA", at positions 28 to 507 of the family's 1533-position model. The record is from RNAcentral.
GACGAACGCUGGCGGCGUGCUUAACACAUGCAAGUCGAACGGAAAGGCCCUGCUUUUGUGGGGUGCUCGAGUGGCGAACGGGUGAGUAACACGUGAGUAACCUGCCCUUGACUUUGGGAUAACUUCAGGAAACUGGGGCUAAUACCGGAUAGGAGCUCCUGCUGCAUGGUGGGGGUUGGAAAGUUUCGGCGGUUGGGGAUGGACUCGCGGCUUAUCAGCUUGUUGGUGGGGUAGUGGCUUACCAAGGCUUUGACGCGUAGCCGGCCUGAGAGGGUGACCGGCCACAUUGGGACUGAGAUACGGCCCAGACUCCUACGGGAGGCAGCAGUGGGGAAUAUUGCACAAUGGGCGGAAGCCUGAUGCAGCAACGCCGCGUGCGGGACGACGGACUUCGGGUUGUAAACCGCUUUCGCCUGUGACGAAGCGUGAGUGACGGUAAUGGGUAAAGAAGCACCGGCUAACUACGUG